Arachis ipaensis is the source of this 402-nucleotide non-coding RNA. The record is from RefSeq and is a predicted model, not a curated record. NCBI's taxonomy places the organism in Eukaryota, Viridiplantae, Streptophyta, Magnoliopsida, Fabales, Fabaceae.
CAUAGUAAAUUAUAUAAUCAUCCAUUUGACUGGUUUGAACUCUGUUUAUUUUAUUUCUCAAAAAACUUGCUGAACUCUGCGGUUUGAAUUCUAUUUUUUUUGCUGAACUCUGUGAUUUGAAUUCUGUUUAUUUUAUUUCCCAAAUAAAUUGUUGCUUCAACUUGGUGGGUUCUUUUCUCCAUAUAUAUGCAUGCUCGAUUGAUUAUUUUUCAGCAUACCAUUCAUGAUGGAGGAGAUGUUCCGGUCUAUGAGUGACAUCAGACUAUCAGAUAUGGAAGUGGAUCCACCACCAAUCUUCAAUCAAAGGGCUUCUUUUCAAGAAGAAGGAAUGCCACAACGAAAUUUGAUAUUGUUGUAAAGUAUAACUUUUGAAAGGAAUGAAAUGAAGUAAAGCUUGACUUU